CGGGGGUCCCGUUUCGUUGGUUUGGAGGACGGUCCGUAAUGAUGAAUAGGAACAAUUGGGUGUGUUGAUACUCGAGAGUCAGAGGUGAAAUUCUUAGAUUUCUCGAAGAUCGACUAGUGCGAAGGCAUUCACAAAGGAUGUUUUCAUUGAUCAAGAACGAAAGUCGGGGGAUCGAAGACGAUCAGAUACCGUCGUAGUCUCGACCGUAAACGAUGGUGGCUUGGGGUGGUGGUCGUAUCACGAAGAUCGAAGGCGACCGCGGAACCAUAGGGAAACUAAAGCGUUUGACCCCCAGGGGGAGUAUAGCCGCAAGGACGAAACUUGAAGAAAUUGACGGAAGGGCACCACCAGCGGUGGAGCCUGCGGCUCAAUUUGACUCAACACGGGGAA
RNAcentral lists this ribosomal RNA (390 nucleotides) under Eukaryota sp. Its description in RNAcentral is "SSU rRNA". It matches the Rfam family "Eukaryotic small subunit ribosomal RNA", at positions 828 to 1212 of the family's 1831-position model. The record is from RNAcentral.